GACGAACGCUGGCGGCGUGCAUAACACAUGCAAGUCAAGGGGGUCAGUAGCAAUACUGGCAACCGGCGAACGGGUGCGUAACACGUAAGCGACCUACCUCGAUGUGGGGCAUAGCCGGCCUAACGGCCGGGUAAUUCCGCAUGUGAUUCUGGAGAGGCAUCUCCCCGGAAUGAAACCAGUAAUGGGCAUUGAGAGGGGCUUGCGGCCUAUCAGCUUGUUGGUGAGGUAACGGCUCACCAAGGCUACGACGGGUAGCUGGUCUGAGAGGAUGGCCAGCCACAUUGGGACUGAGAAACGGCCCAGACUCCUACGGGAGGCAGCAGUGGGGAAUAUUGCACAAUGGGCGCAAGCCUGAUGCAGCAACGCCGCGUGGGGGAUGAAGGCCUCGGUUGUAC
Molecule: ribosomal RNA, 395 nt
Filed under: uncultured bacterium
Lineage: Bacteria
Description: bacterial SSU rRNA
Rfam family: Bacterial small subunit ribosomal RNA
Source: RNAcentral